GACGAACGCUGGCGGCGUGCCUAAUACAUGCAAGUUGAGCGCUGAAGGUUGGUACUUGUACCGACUGGAUGAGCAGCGAACGGGUGAGUAACGCGUGGGGAAUCUGCCUUUGAGCGGGGGACAACAUUUGGAAACGAAUGCUAAUACCGCAUAAAAACUUUAAACACAAGUUUUAAGUUUGAAAGAUGCAAUUGCAUCACUCAAAGAUGAUCCCGCGUUGUAUUAGCUAGUUGGUGAGGUAAAGGCUCACCAAGGCGAUGAUACAUAGCCGACCUGAGAGGGUGAUCGGCCACAUUGGGACUGAGACACGGCCCAAACUCCUACGGGAGGCAGCAGUAGGGAAUCUUCGGCAAUGGACGAAAGUCUGACCGAGCAACGCCGCGGGAGCGAAGAAGGGUUUCGGAUCGUAAAACUCUGUUGGUAGAGAAGAACGUUGGUGAGAGUGGAAAGCUCAUCAAGUGACGGUAACUACCCAGAAAGGGACGGCUAACUACGUG
Molecule: ribosomal RNA, 497 nt
Filed under: uncultured bacterium
Lineage: Bacteria
Description: partial 16S ribosomal RNA
Rfam family: Bacterial small subunit ribosomal RNA
Source: RNAcentral